Long non-coding RNA from Anopheles aquasalis, 1034 nucleotides. RefSeq lists it as uncharacterized. The record is from RefSeq and is a predicted model, not a curated record. NCBI's taxonomy places the organism in Eukaryota, Metazoa, Arthropoda, Insecta, Diptera, Culicidae.
UGCAAAAUUGAUAACGACAGAUUUCGACGCGCUUGGAAAACAAUGUUUAAAGUUGUUGUGAGUAAUGUGUGCAAGUGUCUUGUUCACAGGUUUGCAACGUGAAUCGUUUUUUGCUAUACGAACGCAUGCUGCUUAUCAACACGAUGUAUAAAGCUUCAAGACGUAAAUUGUAAGUGUUUACGAUGGAAUCCAAGUGUAUCAGAGAGUAACCCAGAUUUGACUACGCUCCCGACCAUCCUUAUCAUUAUCAGAACCAUGCAAAGCGAGCCAUUAAUCAAUGCAGCAACAUUCGUUGAUACUACAGAAUCGUGUAGCAGCCGAAAAAAGGAUUCGUGGUCGCUUUGUGCGUCUUGUUGCUGAUUCUUGGCAUAAACGGAGGAGCAGAGUCUGCACCUUCACGAGUGGUUACAUCGCUCGAGCACGAACCCCAAGACAAUCCACAUAGAGAAACGGGUAUUUUUGAAUGGGCAUUGCCCGCCCAGGAAUUUCGAGCGAAGAGGAGCAGCAGCAAAAGCAGCAGCAGUAGCAGCAACAAAAGCAGCAGUAGUAGUAAAAGCAGCAGCAGCAGCAGUAGCAGCAACAAAAGCAGCAGUAGUAGUAAAAGCAGCAGCAGCAGCAGCAACAAAAGCAGCAACAAAAGCAGUAAUAGUAGUAAAAGCAGCAACAGCAGCAAAAGCACCAACAAAAGCAGCAGCAACAGCAACAAAGGCAAGAUCAGCAAUCCAUAUAGCGGCGGCAGCGGCAGCAGAAUCAUCAUCAGAGACCAAGCCAGCAGCAUCAGCAGCAAGAGCAGCAGCAGCAGCAUUAGAAAAAAUGGAAAAUAAAAUAUCCAAAUAAGCGUCGUCUCAUCAGAUCAGUACUGGAAGAAAGAAAACAGCUAAACAUGCCUGCAGUAACAUGGAUCAAACAAAAAAAUUACACAUAAAAAUCGGUGGAAUUAAUUGAUCUUUGUAAUUGUGUUCGGCCACACUUUAUGGAAUCUAAGAACCUUUUCUAAUGAAGUUAUAAUAAAAUUACACACCUUUGUGUCGGUA